CUGGCUGCUCCCUAUGUGAAAAUGGAGAGCCUGCAGAACUCAUAAGCUCCCCUUCUCUACCUUUACCUGGCAUCGAGAAAGCCUUAGUUUGCUGUGAGCUGGUUUGUUAAAGCCCAGAGGAGGGUCCACAGAAGAGAAACUGAUGGGCUUUAAAAUAUCAAUCAUCUGCUUUCCUUUAUUUAAAAGCUACAAACUUUUUAAUAGAUUUGGAUUCACAGCAAACUUCAUGGUUCAAUGGGAGAUCUGUUUUGUCGCAUUUUUGUUGGCAAAACAAGAUUCCCAGAGGUUCAGCAUCAUCAACAAGAUGGAAGCAAUUCAAAAAGAAAAUUCAACACUUUCAAGUCAGGCAAAGCACCUGAAGAUGGAUGGGCCUGGGACACCACCCUGAGGAACUCUUCUGGAGAUGAGCUGAGAUAAUUGACAUUCAACAACAACCAUCUUGUCUUGGGCCAGGUUAGAAUCAACCUAAACAUCAUGGCACAGACGAGAACAUGGGGGCUAACACCUUCAACAUAUUAUCUGGCUAACACCAAUUGUUACAGUUAACCUGAGAAUGCAACCUUUAAAAGAAGUUUUGUGAUUUACAUACGAAAGAAGUGAAACUAUCAUGGUAUUUGAACAGAUGAAAGACUCAACAGACAAUCAAGGUAUUUUUCAAUGUAUAAUUUCAGUUACAUCACACUGUAAACUUUUGCUA
This is a long non-coding RNA of Hemiscyllium ocellatum (epaulette shark), 697 nucleotides long. RefSeq lists it as uncharacterized. The record is from RefSeq and is a predicted model, not a curated record. Lineage: Eukaryota; Metazoa; Chordata; Chondrichthyes; Orectolobiformes; Hemiscylliidae. The transcript is spliced from 3 exons.